GAACCUAUAUAAGUAGGUAAUUUAAAUAGAAUAUCAGAAGGUACAGAAUUGUGAUCUCAUGCAACUAGUACUCAUUUUCCUGUUAAUUUUAUUUUCCUUAGUCUUUAGUCUUUAGAAAAUAAAAUAAAANCNAAAUAANUAAAGUGCUUUUUGCGGACAUUGGGGGGUCGUGAAGACUCUAUCAGUGAGUAUUUGUUCUCGGAAGGACUAGAUAUGAAUAUUGAAUAAUCAGACAUAGUACGAUAAGGUUGUAUGUCUAAAGGGAAACAGCCCAGAACAAGAGUUAAUAAGGUUCCAAAAUUAUUGUUAAGUGAAAUUAAGGCAGUAUUUAUCCAAAUCGGCCAGGGAAUAGGCUUAGAAGCGGCCAUUUUCUGAAGACCUCGUAACAGAGCACUGGUCUUGUUUUAAUGAUAAUAGGGAUAAAAGCACCGAAAAUUUAACGGAUCUAAACAAUAUACCGAGACCUUGUCCAAAUAUAUUAAUGUAUCUAAAUUUUACAUUGUAUAUUAGGGGUAGCGGAACAUUGGGGAAGUUUCUUAUUAUGCCUUUAUAAGGCAUAAAAUAAUUAACAACCCAAGCGAGAAUGCUGACAUGAGUAACGAUAAAGGGGAAUACCCUCGCCUAAAGCUUAUGGAAUUUAAUUAAAGUUACGGCCUCUAAGUUUAUUAUAUAUUUAAUGAAUAAUCUGUUAUUUAUUAAUAAUCCCAAAGGGGGUAAACGAUGAGCAAAUCUAAGAUUUAUAGAAAAUAUCAUUUUUACAUAGUGACAAAUGAUCUGGAAAACUGUAUAUCUCAUUUGCUAAAUAUGAAUAAACUAAAACAGAUGAUAUGUUUAGCAGAUGGUUACCGUACCUAAAUACUACCACAAGUAAGCAAGUAGA
RNAcentral lists this ribosomal RNA (880 nucleotides) under Pseudevernia furfuracea. Its description in RNAcentral is "LSU rRNA". It matches the Rfam family "Bacterial large subunit ribosomal RNA", at positions 862 to 1675 of the family's 2925-position model. The record is from RNAcentral. Lineage: Eukaryota; Fungi; Ascomycota; Lecanoromycetes; Lecanorales; Parmeliaceae.